RNAcentral lists this ribosomal RNA (495 nucleotides) under uncultured bacterium. Its description in RNAcentral is "partial 16S ribosomal RNA". It matches the Rfam family "Bacterial small subunit ribosomal RNA", at positions 28 to 507 of the family's 1533-position model. The record is from RNAcentral.
GACGAACGCUGGCGGCGUGCCUAAUACAUGCAAGUAGAACGCUGAAGGAGGAGCUUGCUCUUCUGGAUGAGUUGCGAACGGGUGAGUAACGCGUAGGUAACCUGCCUGGUAGCGGGGGAUAACUAUUGGAAACGAUAGCUAAUACCGCAUAACAGUAGAUGUUGCAUGACAUUUACUUAAAAGGUGCAAUUGCAUCACUACCAGAUGGACCUGCGUUGUAUUAGCUAGUUGGUGGGGUAACGGCUCACCAAGGCGACGAUACAUAGCCGACCUGAGAGGGUGAUCGGCCACACUGGGACUGAGACACGGCCCAGACUCCUACGGGAGGCAGCAGUAGGGAAUCUUCGGCAAUGGACGGAAGUCUGACCGAGCAACGCCGCGUGAGUGAAGAAGGUUUUCGGAUCGUAAAGCUCUGUUGUAAGAGAAGAACGAGUGUGAGAGUGGAAAGUUCACACUGUGACGGUAUCUCACCAGAAAGGGACGGCUAACUACGUG